This is a long non-coding RNA of Melopsittacus undulatus (budgerigar), 384 nucleotides long. RefSeq lists it as uncharacterized. The record is from RefSeq and is a predicted model, not a curated record. NCBI's taxonomy places the organism in Eukaryota, Metazoa, Chordata, Aves, Psittaciformes, Psittaculidae. The transcript is spliced from 3 exons.
GAGAGGCAGAGCCAGACCAUCCUCCUGUCCAACCCGAGCAGCGAGGCCUGGACCCUGCAGCCCAUCAUUGAGGGGAAAUACUGGAAAGGGCCUGAAUUUAUCCAUCUGGAGGCCAGGCAAAAAGAAAAGGUCUACCAGGUCACCUACAGACCCCUAACCAUGAGCUCUGAGAACAAGAAGCACCAGGGCUCCAUCUUCUUCCCCCUGCCGGACGGGACAGGCUUACGCUACCACCUGGAAGGAACUGCUGAAGCCCCCAGGUGUUCAGGGGCCAUUUCCCGGCAGGUUCCAUGCAGGAAGUGCCACACGGAGCUCAUCCCUGUGUCCAACUGGCUGCACAGACCACAGAGGUUCCUGGUGGUUAUUGACAUGCUCAAACCAGAG